This 507-nucleotide ribosomal RNA is filed under the name uncultured bacterium. RNAcentral describes it as "bacterial SSU rRNA". It matches the Rfam family "Bacterial small subunit ribosomal RNA", at positions 1 to 507 of the family's 1533-position model. The record is from RNAcentral.
AUACGAGUUUGAUCCUGGCUCAGAUUGAACGCUGGCGGAAUGCUUUACACAUGCAAGUCGAACGGCAGCACGGGGGCAACCCUGGUGGCGAGUGGCGAACGGGUGAGUAAUACAUCGGAACGUGCCCAGUCGUGGGGGAUAACGUAGCGAAAGCUACGCUAAUACCGCAUACGAUCUACGGAUGAAAGCGGGGGAUCGCAAGACCUCGCGCGAUUGGAGCGGCCGAUGGCAGAUUAGGUAGUUGGUGGGGUAAAGGCUCACCAAGCCUUCGAUCUGUAGCUGGUCUGAGAGGACGACCAGCCACACUGGGACUGAGACACGGCCCAGACUCUUACGGGAGGCAGCAGUGGGGAAUUUUGGACAAUGGGCGAAAGCCUGAUCCAGCCAUUCCGCGUGCAGGAUGAAGGCCCUCGGGUUGUAAACUGCUUUUGUACGGAACGAAACGGCCUUUUCUAAUACAGAGGGCUAAUGACGGUACCGUAAGAAUAAGCACCGGCUAACUACGUG